CUACGGGUGGCACCAGUGAGGAAUAUUGCACAAUGGGGGAAACCCUGAUGCAGCAACGCCGCGUGGAGGAUGACGCAUUUCGGUGUGUAAACUCCUUUUAUCAGAGAAGAAAAUGACGGUAUCUGAUGAAUAAGCUCCGGCUAACUCCGUGCCAGCAGCCGCGGUAAUACGGAGGGAGCAAGCGUUAUUCGGAAUCACUGGGCGUAAAGGAGGCGUAGGCGGGUUUUUAAGUCAGGUGUGAAAUCCUAUGUCUCAACCAUAGAACUGCACUUGAAACUGGGGACCUAGAGUAUGGAAGGGGCAGGUGGAAUUAGUGGUGUAGGGGUAAAAUCCGUAGAUAUCACUAGGAAUACCGAAAGCGAAGGCGACCUGCUGGGACAUUACUGACGCUGAGGCGUGAAAGCGUGGGGAGCAAACAGGAUUAGAUACCCGUGUAGUC
This 439-nucleotide ribosomal RNA is filed under the name uncultured bacterium. Its description in RNAcentral is "partial 16S ribosomal RNA". It matches the Rfam family "Bacterial small subunit ribosomal RNA", at positions 339 to 795 of the family's 1533-position model. The record is from RNAcentral.